Molecule: long non-coding RNA, 1341 nt
Organism: Drosophila miranda
Lineage: Eukaryota; Metazoa; Arthropoda; Insecta; Diptera; Drosophilidae
Exons: 2
Source: RefSeq, a predicted model, not a curated record
UUUGUUUUGAUCUGUGCAUGGAAGGUUAUCUAUUUAUGGAUUUGUUUUAGUUUCAUAUUCACUCUUCUUCUUGCCCUUCUUUUCCUACUCUAUGCUCCCUCACUGCUGUUCUUCAUUUCUGCAUUUCUUUUUUAUGUAUAUGUAUGUAAACUUAAAUAGCUGUUCUGCUUCUCGGUAGUAUUCUGCUUACUCUUAUGUUAACUUAUGUUACUUCACUCGGCUUAUCGCCAGCCCCCUUCGGCUCCGUUGCUGGCGAGCGUUUUUAUAGCUCGCUCGCUCUCCUAUUGGGCUCUGCCUUUGCAGCUUGCGUGUUAUCUCUCUCCCCCGCUUUCACUCUCUGCCUAUGCGCGCAUCACCUUUGGCUCCGCUCGCCCUCUUUAUUUUUUUGGUGCAUUACCCUUGCAGCUCUGAGUAUUGAACUCCAACAACACACUAACUCUUCCCUUCCCUAUGUACUGCGGAUCUUAAUUGGGCCUUGUUAACUGUAUUUGCCAUACGGCACGUUUAGGUAGGAUUUGCGCUAUUUUCCACCUUUUUCUCCGUUCUUAUUUCGCCGGUGCUGAACUUUCCGCUAUCGCGGAUUAUCGACCGUCCCGCUUUGUGGCCGCCGCCUCACCGACGUCGAUCCGGCUGCCCGCGAAGGUCGAGCCUCUCUGAAUUUUUUCUGCGUCUCUGCUCCCUCGCUCUGUGCUGCGACGGAUCAGCUGCUUGGAGCGCCGCUGCUUCGCCAGCCCAAAUUGCUAGGCGCCAAAUCUAGUGCAGGGAGAAAGAACCGUCUAACGUAUUCGGCCCCGAAAGAUCUGUGGUAUCCCACUUUUUGUUCCUCUUACCCGUCAAUCUUGGCCCCAGUGGCCGACCUAGCUUCAGUUAUCGUAGUCCCGCGACUUUUGCUUUGCUGCUGCUGGAUACCACUCGCGCUUUGACAAUAUUCUUUUCUUGACUUUGGAACUUUUUCGUUAAUGAUUUUUGCUGAGCCUGUUCGGGGCGAUGUUGGUCGCUCGACAUCCAAAUUCCAAAAGGAAGAUGGACACGCUCCCAUCCACUAUGAGACCGGUCGGAUCCGCUGGAUGACGUUCGAAUGUCAUCGCUUUCUCCUCUUUCUCUUCACCUGCCAUCAGCGUUAACUCACCCCCAGAGGGAGCCAACCUUUCAGAGCACCGUUUAAGAGCCCCUGUCAAAAACCCGCUGUAGCAGCGAGACUAUGGCUGCCCAUACAACGCCGUUGGCGGUCAAUUUAGUUUACGCCCUCAGCUACAAGCCUCUUACAAUAUAUAUAACACAUUUCCCUAGCAAUAUUAUACUCAGAACUAAUUAAACAUACCUAAUAUCCUAAGUAAACAA